CUGGUAUGUACUAGCCUGCCGAUUCCUCCUUCUUGUAGAACCGUAAUGCCAUUAAUUUGGUGUUGCGGGGAAACAGGACUGUUACUUUGAAAAAAUUAGAGUGUUUAAAGCAGGCUAGCGCCUGAAUACAUUAGCAUGGAAUAAUGAAAUAGGACGUUCGAACCUAUUUUGUUGGUUUCUAGGAUUGACGUAAUGAUUAAUAGGGAUAGUUGGGGGCAUUAGUAUUCAAUUGUCAGAGGUGAAAUCCUUGGAUUUAUUGAAGACUGACUACUGCGAAAGCAUUUGCCAAGGAUGUUUUCAUUAAUCAAGAACGAAAGUUAGGGGAUCGAAGACGAUCAGAUACCGUCGUAGUCUUAACCAUAAACUAUGCCGACUAGGGAUCGGAUGAUGUUAAUUUUUUAAUGACUCAUUCGGCGCCUUACG
This 423-nucleotide ribosomal RNA is filed under the name uncultured Glomeromycotina. Its description in RNAcentral is "SSU rRNA". It matches the Rfam family "Eukaryotic small subunit ribosomal RNA", at positions 668 to 1092 of the family's 1831-position model. Lineage: Eukaryota; Fungi; Glomeromycota. The record is from RNAcentral.